Pseudophryne corroboree (corroboree frog) is the source of this 584-nucleotide long non-coding RNA. RefSeq lists it as uncharacterized. Lineage: Eukaryota; Metazoa; Chordata; Amphibia; Anura; Myobatrachidae. The transcript is spliced from 3 exons. The record is from RefSeq and is a predicted model, not a curated record.
UUGUCUCCUCUCUAUGCAUACAUGCCGGGCACUAGGACCCAGAGUCUGCAGGGAGGUGCGGCCUCUGACCUGAUAUGCUACUGCACAUGUGCAGACUGUGGCCACCUUUACUGUACAGAGUGAUGCAGUGCACAGUACUUAACUCCAGAGCAGCAGAACCAGGCAGCCAGUAUGUGAGAAGGACGGUAUGCAGUGCAGGCAGAGACACAGGAGUAUCAGGUUUUGUGACCUACCGAUGGAGCUUCCCAACCAGAGAAGAGAUAAGAGGGCGGAGAGAGCUUGACCACAGGAGGGCGCACACCGCACUCCCGGGAGGCAGUGAGAGAGCCGCGACUGGUUGCUAUGGAAACCCUGGUGACCGACCGGCCGCUGAGAUGACGUCAGAUCCGGGAGGACGUCACGCUGGCCGAACGGGAGGACGACGGACGCCAACACCUGUGGUACACCUGCAUCUUAUAAAAGAUAUGUUAAAGUUAAUCUGUUUGCAAUGCUGUAUAUUCACUAUUCUGCACUUUUGUAACUGCGUCCUGACGAAAAGGCCGGAGGGCCUUGAAACGUUGACGACUAUUUAAUAUGAAGUUUCA